Molecule: long non-coding RNA, 611 nt
Filed under: Mus musculus (house mouse)
Lineage: Eukaryota; Metazoa; Chordata; Mammalia; Rodentia; Muridae
Description: predicted gene, 26542
Source: RNAcentral
UUUGAGCGGCGUUGGGGAGCGACCCUCCCCUGCAGUGCUUUCCCGGAAGUCCGGCCAGAGUUACCUGAGUUGCGCUGAGCGCGCGUAUCCCUGGAAAUAGCGGAGGCGCGCGAACAGGUAGAACAGUCCGCACAGGGCUGCGGCUCCUGCGAGAGUCGAUGCAAGGCGACGCGGUGAGCACGAGCUCCCGCCAUCCGGGAUCACCCCCACCCCCGAAGUGUGCCCCCACGCUGCCCCGCACCUUCGUGGAAGAAGAUGCCGGCGACCCAGAGUGUGGCGAGGAACAGCGGAAAGUACUCGCUGCAGUUUACCCUGCGAGGGGUAGGCUGGGUGAGCGCGUGGUUCACCUUGGCUGACACCCGAACCCGCCCGGACCCGCCGCGCUCACUGGGCUCGGAAGACGCGCUCGAACUCGGGAGGGCCAGAGGACACGACACUGACAUUGAGUGCAAACAAGCUGAAAUGGUGCCUGUUACCUGCUCAGCCAGGAGGUGCUGCCUCUGCAGGAACUGCUGCUGCUGCAGCUGCUGCUGCUGCUGCUCCCUCUGCUUCUGCUGGUCCAGGAGCAGCUGGUGCUGCUUCAUCACAGCUGCCUGCUGCUGGCUGCUGAG